CAGAGCAGAGAGCCACCAUGUGAGCCAGGCCCACGUCUUUCAUCUACUGCCCAGUAUUCCUGAUACGGCUACUCCUGUGGGUAGGCGAGUUACAGAGACAGCACCCCAACAGCACCCCAACAUCUGAGGCCCCCUUCUACGCAGGGUACUAACAAGGCCUCCCAACAGUGCCAUGAGGUAGGCAUUAUUAUCAUCCCCAAUUUACAGAGAUUUAUGGCCCUGGUACCACAGUGGAUACCAGCAGCCAGAGAAAGCCCCAGGCAAAGACACACAGGUUCUGGCAGAUGGAAGCCACGAAGUCAGAGGAUUGGUGGGACUCAGACAGCACCUACUACACCCGGCACGGAGAUGGGCCUGUGGGCAACUGCCUCUUGCACUUGGCAGUGCAGAUGGGGAAGCAGAGUUGCUGCAUAUCAGGCACCUACUGUUUGCAUGAUCCUAGGCUAAAAUCUCUUUAUACAUGAGGUCUCCGACUCUCAUAACCGCCCCAUGAGAAAAGUCUUAUUAACUGCUCCCAUUUCAUAGAUGAGGGGCUCAAAAUGAUGUAUCUUGCCCACAUCACGCCCAGACGGUAAAUGGCAGGGCUGAAAUUCGAACCCAGGUGGGUCCGACCCCAGGGAACGUACAGAGACAGAGAGAGAGGAGCCCGUGCAAGAUGCACCUGGCAGGAGAUACUGCUCAGCAAAUGAAGGACCUUUCAUGUCCUAGGGAGCUGCUGAAGAAUUCUGAACCAGUGACACCAUCAGACACAGACAGAGGGAAGAUCCUGUGAGGACACAGGGAGAAGGUGGCCGCCUAUCGGCCAAGGAGAAAGGCCUCCAACAAACCAGCCCUGAGACACCUUGAGCUCAGACUCCCAGCCUCCAGAACUGUGAGUAGAUACAUUUCUGUUGUUUAAGCAGUCCAUUCUGUUGUACUGUGUUCUGGCAGCCCUAGCAAACUGAUACACCCUCAUGUUACAGGUAAGGAAACUGAGGCACACAGGGGUUAAAUAAUGGGCCCAGUUGCUUCUUGAACUCAAGUAGUCUGAGUAGUAAUUAGUUCCCUCCCUGAGGGCUCUAUAGAUCUGGGGCCGACGUCUGGUUGAGACCCACACCAAACGCCACACAGUAAGAGUUGCUCCCCCAAGCCUAGCAUCAGUCAUAGCUUAUGCUGCAACAAAGACACACAAUUCAGUGGGACAUAAUUUAGGUCCAAGCCAUGUUUUGUUUUGUUUUGUUUUGAGUCGGAGUCUCACUCUGUCGCCCAGGCUGGAGUACGAUGGCAUGAUCUUGGCUCACUGCAACCUCCGCCUCCUGGGUUCAAGCAAUUCUCCUGCCUCAGCCUUUCAAGUAGCUGGGAUUACAGGCGCCUGCCACCAGGCCCGGCUAAUUUUUGUAUUUUUAAUAGAGACGGGGUUUCACCGUAUUGGUCAGGCUGGUCAUGAAAACCUGACCUCGUUAUCUGCCCACCUCAGCCUCCCAAAGUGCUGGGAUUACAAGUGUGAGCCACCAUGCCUGGCCCCAAGCCAAGGUUUUUUGUGGGUUUUUUCUUUCUUUUCUUUUUGAGACAGGGUCUCACUCUGUUGCCCAGGCUGGAGUGCAGUGGCAUGAUCUCAGCUCACUGUAGCCUCGAUCUCCUGGGCUCAAGCAAUCCUCUCACUUCAGCCUCUAGAGUAGCUGGGACUGCAGGCAAGCCACCAUCCCUGGCUAAUUUUUACAUUUUUUGUGGAGUUGGGGUCUUGCCAUCUUGCCCAGGCUGGUCUUGAACUCCUGGGCUCACCCAGCACUGGGAACUCCUGCCUCAGCCUUCCAAAGUGCUGGGAUUACAGGUGUGAGCCACCAUGGCUGGCCUUUUUUUGAGCCAGUAGGCGCUGUGCUGCUCCCAAUCGUGAGUGAGUGAGUCUUGCUCUCAGCCCUUCUCCUCUGCUGCCUUUCCCCCGCACCACCACAGAGCAAGAGCUUCUCAAUCUCCUUGGACUAUGAAGAUGGUUAGCCAAACUCAUCUUCUCUCCCUAUGCGCUUCCUACUUCCAUCCCCUCUGCCCCACUGCAGCGCCUGAGAGGGUUUUCUCUGGCCCUCUUCAGCCUCAUCCCUCCCCUGCCUAAAGCCUUAAGGAUGCAAUAUUUUUUUUUUUUUAAAGACAGAAUCUCGCUUUAUGCCCCAUGCUGGAGUACAGUGGUGCAAUCUCGGCUCACUGCAAACUCCGCCUCCCGGGUUCAAGUGCUUCUUCUGCCUCAGCCUCCCGAGUAGCUGGGAUUACAGGCACCGACCACCAUGCCCACCUAAUUUUUGUAUUUUUAGUAGAGACAGGGUUUCACCAUGUUGGCCAGGCUGGUCUCAAACUCAUGAUAUCAGGUGAUCCACCCACCUCGGCCUCCUAAAGUGCUGGGAUUACAGGCGUGAGCCACCGCGCCUGGCCAAGGUUGCAACUUUUAAAUGCCCAUUGCAGAUGUCAUGACACACACUCUUCGAUACCCCAACACAUGUGGUCAUCCCACAGAGGCACAAUGGACCCCAACAGUUGGCACAGCAAGCAGGGCAUGUGGGCAGUGACCGUGAUGGCAGGGGUCUCUCUUCCCUCGCUUUGGCUUGUGAACUGGCUCUGCUGCCUGCUGGCGACCUGCCCUCUGCGCCUCUGCCCGCUGAUUCGUUUGUGUUUGGAGCUGUGCUGCUUUGUGCUGAUUGGCCAAGUCCUCUGAGCGUCUGUUACAGAUUUUACCAGGGCAAGCUGGAAGUUUCAGUAAUUGGUGUUUAGGGACAGAAGUAUGGGAUUGGAGCCCUCUUUAACGUGGCUCUGGGUCAUGGACCUUGGCAUGGCCCUAUCUGUGUGUCUCACUGAAUUGUGUGGUUCCAGCAUAAGCUAUGGCUGAUGCUGGGCUCAGCGGAGCAACUCUUACUGUGGGGCCUUUGGCUGUGAGUCUCAACCAGACAUUGGACCCGAAUCUGCAGAGCACUCAGGGGAACUAGUAACACCUUGUGCAGUAUUUCCACCCAAUGAUGGUCACUCAUGGGGUGCAGGAGCUGUCACCAUGUGGCCUGCUGAGGUCCACACCCCUAAAAGGUGAUGGCUUUCCAAGUGCCACCUGCUGCUGCUGCUGCUACCUGUGCCUCUCUCACACCAAAGACCCUGAUCCCCAGGGUUAUAAGAAAAAGACAUCCAUGACAUCCCAUGGACAGACUCCUGUGAAAAAGGCCUGAAUGCUUUAUCUCAGCCCCUCCUAAGGGGUUAGAGGAUACCCUGGCCCUAUUGGACAGCUGUAAAAUGGACCAACAAAGAUUCUGGGGUCAGCUGAGUGCCACAACUUAUCAACACGCAACAGGGCUGCUCUGCCCCCGUGAAGUCUGUGUCCCUUAGCCAACAAGGUAACCACUGCCCUGGAGGAGGCGCGCCCUGACCAUGCUAAUGUGAGACCCUCUGAAGGAUGAAGCUUACAAAUAUGGCAAAGAUGGAGGGGACCUGCCUCAAACCACAGUGAGUAACCACCUCCCUCCAGAUACCUGGAUACAGGGGGAGAAAACAAAAAACCAAGGUCCACAGUUGGGGAUGACCCAAGUAGAAAUCCAAAAUAAUUUUUUGGUUUUUGAGACAGCGUCUCGCUCUGUCACCUAGGCUGGAGUGCAGUGGCACAAUCUUGGCUCACUGCAACCUCCGCCUCCCGGGUUCAAGCAAUUCUCCUGCCUCAGCCUCCGAAGUUGCUGGGACUACAGGCGGGAGCCACCGCGCCCAGCUAAUGUUUGUAUUUUUAGUAGAGAUGGAGGUUUGCCAUGUUGACCAGGCUGGUCUCAAACUCCUGGCCUCAGGUGAUCCACCCACCUCGGCCUCCCAAAGUGUUGGGGUUACAGGCGUGAGCCACCGCGCCCAGCCGGGAAUCCAAAAUUUACUGAAAGAAUUUAUACAACAAAAACAUGAAAGGGUGCCGAAUGGCUUUUGCGCCUCUACAACAUGAGUUUUGAAUUAAGUUCAACAUCUGCUGAAAUGUACCAAUUGGGAAAAUGUCAUUUUCUUAAUCCUGGGGCUCAAAUUACAGUUAUACCAGUGAUCCCACUAAAUUAAGACAAGGUACCCUUUGUAAUCUUAGGGAAGUUACUAAAUAUGACAGGAGAAACAGGUAUGCCUCGCCUUAACCAUCUGAACUAUUGCCUUGCCUAAAUUCCCUGUAGUCAUAGCACCCAUUAUUCUAAAAUGUCCUAUAAUGGGCAUGGACUCUCUGAUCCAAUGACUAAUACAUUAAAAUUCAUUUAAGUCUUUGGCACUUAACAAUCAGGUUGACAAAAUGGGACCCCAUGGACCCACCU
This 4277-nucleotide long non-coding RNA is filed under the name Homo sapiens (human). Its description in RNAcentral is "HSALNT0263679". The record is from RNAcentral. Lineage: Eukaryota; Metazoa; Chordata; Mammalia; Primates; Hominidae.